UAAGCGGAGGAAAAGAAACUAACAAGGAUUCCCCUAGUAACUGCGAGUGAAGCGGGAAAAGCUCAAAUUUAAAAUCUGGUGGUCUUUAGGCCAUCCGAGUUGUAAUUUAGAGAAGCGUCUUCCGCGCCGGACCAUGCACAAGUCUCCCGGAAUGGAGCGUCAUAGAGGGUGAGAAUCCCGUCUUUGGCAUGGACACACCGGGGCUUCUGUGAUGCGCUCUCGAAGAGUCGAGUUGUUUGGGAAUGCAGCUCAAAAUGGGUGGUGAACUCCAUCUAAAGCUAAAUAUUGGCGAGAGACCGAUAGCGAACAAGUACCGUGAGGGAAAGAUGAAAAGCACUUUGGAAAGAGAGUGAAACAGUACGUGAAAUUGUUGAAAGGGAAACGCUUGAAGUCAGUCGCGUUGACCGAGACUCAGCCUUGCCUCGGCUUGGUGUACUUCUCGGCUGACGGGCCAGUAUCAAUUUUGUCCUUCGGAUAAUGGCAAGGGAAAGGUGGCACCUUUACCGGUGUGUUAUAGUCUCUUGUCGCAUGCGAGGGGCGGGAUUGAGGAACUCAGCACGCACC
Molecule: ribosomal RNA, 564 nt
Filed under: Lactifluus glaucescens
Lineage: Eukaryota; Fungi; Basidiomycota; Agaricomycetes; Russulales; Russulaceae
Description: eukaryotic LSU rRNA
Rfam family: Eukaryotic large subunit ribosomal RNA
Source: RNAcentral